CAGGCGAUGAAGGACGCAGUAGCUUGCGAAAAGCUGCGGGGAGCUGGCAAACGAGCUUUGAUCCGCAGAUGUCCGAAUGGGGAAACCCGGCCCGAAUGGGUCAUCUGUUACUGAAUUCAUAGGUAACAGAGGCGAACGCAGUGAACUGAAACAUCUAA
This 158-nucleotide ribosomal RNA is filed under the name Ralstonia solanacearum. Its description in RNAcentral is "partial 23S ribosomal RNA". It matches the Rfam family "Bacterial large subunit ribosomal RNA", at positions 44 to 205 of the family's 2925-position model. Lineage: Bacteria; Pseudomonadati; Pseudomonadota; Betaproteobacteria; Burkholderiales; Burkholderiaceae. The record is from RNAcentral.